CCGGGUCCUCGACGGCGACGGCGUCCCCGGGCCUGAGGUGCACGGCGAGGACCCGCUCGAUCGCGUCCAGCGAGCCGGA
Molecule: transfer RNA, 79 nt
Filed under: Streptomyces roseolus
Lineage: Bacteria; Bacillati; Actinomycetota; Actinomycetes; Kitasatosporales; Streptomycetaceae
Description: tRNA-Leu
Source: RNAcentral